This is a long non-coding RNA of Grus americana (Whooping crane), 628 nucleotides long. RefSeq lists it as uncharacterized. The transcript is spliced from 3 exons. NCBI's taxonomy places the organism in Eukaryota, Metazoa, Chordata, Aves, Gruiformes, Gruidae. The record is from RefSeq and is a predicted model, not a curated record.
AAAAGGGCGGGAGGUGACAGGAAGGCGAGGGCCCGUUGGCCUGAAGCUGCAUCGUGAAGGAGGAUGAGGAGUUAAAGUAUCUGUGGGAUUUCUUAAGUCUUCAGUAAAGAUCUUCAGUGAGAUACCACAGGAGUUGGGAUAUUGGCAGCCUCCAAAGUCUGUAAAGGGGUCAGGAGCGCAUCUGUUACAACAUUUGUCCCUACACAGAGAGUCGGUGAAGACAGCUGAAUCCCUUACGUCAUAUUUUUGUGCUCUAAAAUGCUCAUUAAAUAUUAAUCCAUUUCUAUGGAUUUCAAUUUGAACCAGAUUCCAAGUAGUAGUGAUUGAAAAUUAAAAUUACUCUUUACCCCCCCUUUUUAUUUUUUCUACCCUUAUAAUCAAAUAAUUCAGGAGUAGGAAAGCCCUGUUGGUUUUCACAUCCUUUCCUCAGCAAGAGUGGAUUCCUUUUCUUCUGGAUUGCUUUUUAUUGGUUAGUGGAAAUUCUGAAAAACAUCUUCAUUAUUAAUCUUAAAUUUACUUAUCGAAAGAAAUAAGCUUAAUCUUACCUUGGUAAGUUUCCUCUUUCAAUGAUGUAAAUGUUUCAGUGAUGUAAAAUUCCAUUUUAUGAUGAUAGAUUUAAUAAACCUUU